This 433-nucleotide ribosomal RNA is filed under the name uncultured bacterium. Its description in RNAcentral is "partial 16S ribosomal RNA". It matches the Rfam family "Bacterial small subunit ribosomal RNA", at positions 29 to 507 of the family's 1533-position model. The record is from RNAcentral.
AACGAACGCUGGCGGCAUGCCUAACACAUGCAAGUCGAACGAGACCUUCGGGCCUAGUGGCGCACGGGUGCGUAACGCGUGGGAACCUGCCCUUAGGUUCGGAAUAACUCCCCGAAAGGGGUGCUAAUACCGGAUAAUGUCUUCGGACCAAAGAUUUAUCGCCUUUGGAUGGGCCCGCGUUGGAUUAGCUAGUUGGUAGGGUAAAAGCCUACCAAGGCGACGAUCCAUAGCUGGUCUGAGAGGAUGAUCAGCCACACUGGGACUGAGACACGGCCCAGACUCCUACGGGAGGCAGCAGUGGGGAAUAUUGGACAAUGGGCGAAAGCCUGAUCCAGCAAUGCCGCGUGAGUGAUGAAGGCCUUAGGGUUGUAAAGCUCUUUUACCCGGGAUGAUAAUGACAGUACCGGGAGAAUAAGCUCCGGCUAACUUCGUG